RNAcentral lists this ribosomal RNA (393 nucleotides) under uncultured bacterium. RNAcentral describes it as "partial 16S ribosomal RNA". It matches the Rfam family "Bacterial small subunit ribosomal RNA", at positions 338 to 729 of the family's 1533-position model. The record is from RNAcentral.
CCUACGGGUGGCAGCAGUGAGGAAUAUUGGUCAAUGGGCGAGAGCCUGAACCAGCCAAGUCGCGUGAGGGAGUACUGCCCUAUGGGUUGUAAACCUCUUUUGUCGGGGAGCAAAAGCCGGACGGUUCGGGUCGUGAGAGUAACCGAAGAAAAAGCAUCGGCUAACCUCGUGGCAGCAGCCGCGGGAAUACGGAGGGUGCGAGCGUUAUUCGGGUUUUUUGGGGUUAAAGGGUGCGGAAGGUGUGUUUUAAGGCAGCGGGGAAAGUUUGUGGCUCAAACCUACGAUUGCCGUUGAAACUGGAAGUCUUGAGUGUGUUUGAGGUAGGCGGAAUGCGUGGUGUAGCGGUGAAAGGCAUAGAUAUCACGCAGAACUCCGAUUGCGAAGGCAGCUUAC